RNAcentral lists this ribosomal RNA (1947 nucleotides) under Puppisaman cf. gallanis. RNAcentral's name for it is "Rhizaria sp. GAS-2018g partial small subunit ribosomal RNA". It matches the Rfam family "Eukaryotic small subunit ribosomal RNA". Lineage: Eukaryota; Cercozoa; Sainouridae. The record is from RNAcentral.
AUGUAAUUUGCGGACAGCUCAUUAUAACAUCCGUUACAUUCACCGUAAUGGUUUUGAUUAACAUUUACAAGGAUACUCCUGGUAACUCCAUGCCUAAUACUUGCUUCAACGUGGACUCUCAAUCUUGAUUGGGGGAAAACGGCAUUUAUUAGUUUUCUUAAAUCAACGAUAGUAUUGGAUGGUAACAUCUGGUAUUAUUUUUAAUGAUUUAUGAUAAUUUAGCGGACCUGUAUCUAAUACAGGCACACGGUAUUGGCGGAUAAUAUAUUAGUUUGUAAGUAGUGUCUUGGACUACUUASACGUUGAUGUAAUCGGGGAUCUAGAGAUUGACUCCGGAGAGUUAGCCUGAGAGAUAGCUAACAUUUCUAAGGAAAGCAGCAGGGACGCAAAUUAUCCACUGACAAUUCGUCGAGAUAGGAACCAUUUGUGAAGUUGUUUAUUUUGCUUUACAGCGAGUAAAUAAUUUCAGUACAAUGCACAUCAGUAAAACUCCUUUUGGAAGAAUAAGGUAAUGGCUUUGCCAGCAUCUGCGGUAAGAAUGAAUAUUCAAGUGUUUCAUUGAUUUAUUGCGAUUAAAACGUUCGUAGUUGGUCUUUUUGUUUGUCACGCUGUGUCUCACUUAGUGAAUUGUCUGCUGGGGUUUUGCUCCGGUUUGACAGCACAGCGAUUUUUUCAAACAAUGUGGAUAGGUGGAAUUGGGUUCAACUAAUUCACACGCUAUUCUUUCCCAUGAACAAAAGAGCACGCUCCAAGUAGGCUUUUAAUAUAAUGCUUGAUUCAUUCAGCAUGGAAUAAACACAACAGGCCAAAAAGAUUCUGGUACGUUCCAGAUCUGGUUAUUCGUUGUCGUUGGUUUUUUACAUUAACUGGUCAUGAUCUCUGAAGACGGUUGGGGGAUGUUUGUACUCAUAGAAGAGGGGUGAAAUCUUUGGACUCUGUGAAGACAAUCUUUAGCGAAGGCAUUCAUCAAUUACGUCCUUUUCAAUCAAGAACGAAAGUUAGAGUAUCGAAGGGCAUUAGACACACCCGUAGUUUUAACUAUAAACGAUGACAUCUUAGGAUGCUGAAUACUUUACCUCCCGGUCAAACGGGGGGAUCAUUUUUCAUUUAAAUUUGUAUGAAAGUACAAAUUUACCACGAAUUUCAACGCACUAUGUGGGAAACCAAAGCUGCCUUCGUGGAGUGUAUGUUAGCAAUAAUGAAAUUUGAAGAAAUUGACGGAAGUAUCACCACCAGGAGUGGAGCUUGCGGCUUAAUUUGACUCAACGCGAGGAACUUUACCAGUGCCGGACACCGUAAGGAAAGACAGAUUGCAGCUCUUUCUUGAUUCUGUGCUUGUUGUAUGUAGUGCAUGGUCUUUGGGAAGUGAGUGGAUUGAUUUUUCUGAUUAAUUUCGAUAACUAGCGAGACCUCAACCUUGAUGGUGGGUCUCUUUUAUGAGAUACCACUAUGAUGUAAAUACGUUGGUAUAUAUUCGUAUAUACAGCUCUUUCAACAACGUUCUUAAAGGGACUACUGUAGUUUUAUACAGGGGAAGCUUGAGGCGAUAAAAGGUCCGUGAUGCUCUUAGAUGUUCUGGGCCGCUCGCGCGCUACACUGGUUCAAGCAACGAGUUUUUUGUAGGCCACUCAUGUAUUAAGUCGAUUGUAGCAAUAUAGUCGAUAAGAUACCUGAUGCCUACCCCUGAUUCGAGAGGAUUGGGAAAUCUUUGAAAUUGAACCGUGCUGGGGAUUGACAAUUGCAAUUAUUUGUCAUGAACGAGGAAUUCCUAGUAAGCGCAUGUCAUCAGCAUGCAUUGAAUACGUUUCUGAUCUUUGUACACACCGCCCGUCGCUGUUACCGAUUGAAUGGUUUAGUGAGUAUCGGGGAGAUAUUAUUCUGAAUUCUUUUCGGAGAAUUUGAACGACAUCGAACCGCUUCAAACUGUAUCAUUUAGAGGAAGCAAAA